GGCAAGCCCCGCCAGGAGCAAAACCAAAUAGGGCGGCGAUAAGGGGGCCCCUCUUGCCGCCGGGUCGGUUGCUUGAGCCGAAAGGCGACUUUCGGCCUAGAUGAAUGGUCAUCGCCCCGUCGGGCGCGUCCCGCCGGGGUUACAGAACCCGGCUUACCGGCUUCCGGCUCGC
This 172-nucleotide RNase P RNA is filed under the name Candidatus Adiutrix sp. Its description in RNAcentral is "partial RNase P RNA component class A". It matches the Rfam family "Bacterial RNase P class A", at positions 205 to 367 of the family's 367-position model. Rfam says of the family: Ribonuclease P (RNase P) is a ubiquitous endoribonuclease, found in archaea, bacteria and eukarya as well as chloroplasts and mitochondria. Its best characterised activity is the generation of mature 5'-ends of tRNAs by cleaving the 5'-leader elements of precursor-tRNAs. The record is from RNAcentral. Lineage: Bacteria; Pseudomonadati; Thermodesulfobacteriota; Desulfarculia; Candidatus Adiutricales; Candidatus Adiutricaceae.